GUUGAAUCAACUUUGCUUCCCAGGGAUAAAGCCUAAUUCAUUGUGAUGAAUUAGCAUUUUCCUAUGUUGCUGGGUUCAGUCUGCUAGUAUUUUGUUAAGGAUUUUUGCAUCUAUGUUUCUCAAGGAUAUUGGCCUGAAGUUUUCUGUUUUAAACUCUCUUUUAUUGUUGUGUCUCUGCCAGGUUUGGGUAACAGGGUGAUGCUGGCCUUAUAGAAUGAAUUAGAGAAGAGCCCCUCCACCUGAAUUUUUGGGAAUAGUUUCAGCAGGAAUGGUACCAGCUCUUCUGAAUAAGAAAUAACCCAUAUCAGAGGUCGUGGGCCCCAGAGGAACUGCCCAACCCCAGGACUGGGAUGUCUUGGGACAUCCCACCCUCCUUGACACUGAUUGGUCAAGAUGGCAGGACUGGCCCAAUCAAUGCAUGGGCCUCGAGAAUCUGGCUUAAUUAGAUGCUAGAGGAAGUUUGACGAGAGCUUCUGGGCAAGACAUUUCCCUUCUCUUAAGAGUGUGUGACCUUUGUGGAGUCAUUUAUAUACUCUCACAGUUCUCUCACACGGAGAAUGAGAUUAAGAACAUCUAACUGGAAGAUUUUGGAGAAAUACUCAUGGUAAAACACAUGGCACUUGGUAGGUGUUCAGAAUGAUUAUCAUCAUUAAGACCUUCCUGGCGAGAACUUCUGAUAAAACAACUCAGUGGAGGAGUAUGCUAUAUUAUUGACUAAUACGUAGUUUGAACUGUCAACUGAUUUUAUUUAUCUGAGGCAAUGCUAUCAACACAUCGAUGGAGACAACUGCAUAAAUAUCCAUUUUUGUAGAAUUUCUCUUGUAAUAAAGUUAUAUCUUUUUAUUUUUACUUCGUAUCCAAAAUUUCAACAUUGGAAACCCCUGUUUGUAAAAAGAAAAAGACACACAUAUGUAGAUGUAAGUAUGUCUAACAAUCAGCUGAAGAUGUACAAUGCCAAAUACAAAUGGUAAUGACAGGCUGAACACAGGGUCUAUCAGCCACAAAUUGACUCAAUUUACUGAUUAGUCACAUAUUUCCACUUGGAGCUAUUGUUUAGUUCUAUAGGUAUUAUGGAGAAGACCCCAUCACCCUCACCGCCACACGCAGACACAAACAUACAUAAUGUGUUGAGUGUAGUCUGAUUCUUCAGUUUGUGCAUUCAAAUUAUCUCCCUUUGGCAGAUGUGUCUUGAGCACCAACUGUGCUCACUAGCUGCAGAAUGGCACCUCUUACAGAUCACCUCCAUGAAAGGAUGGGGUGAUUUAUUGCACUUGCCCCCUUUUUUUUGAGAUGGAGUCUUGUUCUGUUGCCAGGCUGGAGUGCAGUGGCACGAUCUCAGCUCACUGCAACCUCUGCCUCCCGGGUUCAAAAGAUUCUCCUGCCUCAGCCUCCCGAGUAGCUAGGACUACAGGCGUGCACCAGCACACCUGGCUAAUUUUUGUAUUUUUUGUAGAGAUGGGGUUUCACCAUGUUGGCCAGGAUGGUCUCGAUCUCUUGACCUCAUGAUCCACCUGCCUCGGCCUCCCAAACUGUUGGGAUUAAAAGUGUGAGCCACCGCGCCCGGCCCACUUGCCCCCUCUUUGAACAAGAACCAUGUAGUCACUGCAGAGAAAUGGGGUGAGCUUAGAGACAUAAAAGAAUUCAAAUAACUUUAUCUUGCAUGUCAAAGUACUUUUUAUUUUCAGAGCUUGUCUAGUCUUUGCAAAGCUAUGCAAAUUAUAAAGCAAUUCAUUAUGGUUAAGAAAAGAGUUUUUCCCAAAGAGCUGCAAAUACUCACCAGUGACACAAAGUAAACAAAGACCCAAAGAUGGAACCAAAAGAUAGUUCUUGUCUUUAGAGGAAGAAUAUCCAAGAUGCAUUGGACAGAACAAAUAAUACCCUAGUGUGUUAAACCAUUUGAAGGGGAGCUUGAUAACUUUUUCCUCAAAGUUUUUUUGAAGAGGUCUUUUAAUUUAAAAGUCCUUUAUCACAUAAGACAAGAAUGAAUGAGAUAUAUUCUGCUUCCCUGGAACAUUCUGUAAAUUGACAGUGAGGGAGAAACUGACCCAGUGGUAUUUGUGGGCUAGACAAAUGUUCCAAUUGUUAUUUUCCGAUGUUUGAAUUUUUCUAAACCAAAACCACGUUUUAUCCUAAGCUCUUUCCCCCUGGAUUUUGGAGUCAUGUGUAUUUGGGGGGAAAUUGAAUCCAUAUGUGUUUAAUCUAUUUAUACUUAAAUCAUUAAUGUGCUGUUUUGUAAGAUUAUUUAUGUGACCAAGAAACCCUCUGACCAUCUUUAGAACUCUGCUUGUCACACCACAGAAGUCCUCAUUCUGUGAAGAGGUCACAUUUGCCCAUAGGCCCUAUAAUCUGACCUUAUUAUAAAUUCAUAAACCAGAUCCCUGGGACCAUUCUUAUUUAAUGGGUUGGUAUCACAUGAUUUCCCAAUUUCAGAAAAGGAAAUAAGCUUAUAAAUGCGCUACCCCGAAAAAGAAGAAAGAAAGAACAAAGACUCUAAAAACCACUUAUGUUUUUUUUUUACUAUUUGGAUGAGAUAACAGUAGAUUAAGAAUAAAAAUAUGCCCUACAGACACAAAUUGGAAGGAUAAUUGAAAGCAUGAGACAGAUCCAAAAUAGUGCUUGAGAUUAUCAGUAAUCUGGAAGGAUGGGAAGGAAAAAUAAAUCCUACCUGGUGGGCCCCAUAACAGACUAUACACCUAAAAGACUUGUUCUUACAGGUUUCUUGAGUAAUAGUUUUAAAAAUCACACGGCUCAUGCCUGUAAUCCCAGCACUUUGGGAGGCCAAGGCGGGCAGAUCACAAGGUCAGGAGAUCGAGACCAUCCUGGCUAAAACGGUGAAAUCGUCUCUACUAAAAAUACAAAAAAUUAGCCGGGCAUGGUGGUGGGUGCCUGUAGUCCCAGCUACUUGGGAGGCUGAGGCAGGAGAAUGGUAUGAACCCGGGAGGCGGAGCUUGCAGUGAGCUGAGAUCUCGCCACUGCACUCCAGCCGGGGUGACAGAGUGAGACUCCGUCUCAAAAAAAAAAAUAAAAUAAAAAAUAACUGAAGAGGGAGAGAAACCUAGGCAGGUUAUUAUGCCACACUGGAUGGUGUUUUAUGCAGGGCUGAUGCAAAUAACAAAUAACAAUCGUUGAGUUAACGUAUCCUGCAAAGACUUGCUAGAGCUUCCCCUUGGAAUCUCUACUGGACACAAACAAUAGGAAUCCAUGGCCUUGACCAUGGCAAGGCAAAAGAAGGUUUCAGGGGUAAGCUGAUAUUUUGAAUAUCCCAGUUCAAAGAAUCAAUAGAUUCUUCAAGCAGAACUAAGUCCAAUUACAACUCUAACCUACCACAAUAUAAAAAAUAAAGUCAACUCUAAUGGUUGCACACUUUAUGCCUAGAGAAUUUUGUAACAGCUAUUGUAAAAAACACCAAGUUUAAUUUUUUAAAAAAGCAUAAAGGGAAUUUAGUCUUCUAAUGAGUGCUGGCAACCCAGCAGGAUGUCCUGAGGUCUCUCUGUGAAUGCAUGCUGUGGAUCUGACAAGUCAUACGCAUAGAGCUGAACUGGGGAAAGCUUGGCCAAUGGCCAAAUAUUGAACAGAAACUAGACGAUCUCUAGUUUUUACACAGAUGCCUUUUUCUGAUUAUCAGAAAGACAUUUAGUGCUAAACACAUGUGAGUGAGAGAUAAAAGGUUAAUUAAUACACACACACACACACACACACACACACACACACACACACACACAAUUGUAUUGUCAUUUCCUGACCACACCAGAAACUGCAUUUCAACUCACUGCAAUUCUGCAUAGUGGCACAACAUGCCAGUGUGUGCUGAAGUAGCACCUUAGCUCUCCUGAACACAGUCAAGAAGCAGAGGGGUAGGCUCUAACAUUUAAUGGGUAACAACCACAAGCCAGGCUUGGUCUAGCCACUUUACAUACAACCAGCUUUCAAAGUAAUCCUGUGUGGGAGGGAAAACUAACACACAUUCAAUGUCUUCUCCAUCAAGAACUUUAUAUAGAUUAAUUAAGUCCUUUAAUUCACCCAAAGAGUCUGGACUGAUGUUUUGAAACUUGCCUUUUUCACAUUCUGAAGUAUUACAAAGAUUUUCCAAUCAAGAUGUGAAAUAUUCUACAACUUUUCAAUGGUUACAUGGUAUUGACUGAAUGAAUGUACUAUAACUUAUUUAAUAGUCUCUUACUACUGAACAUUUAUGAAAUUUCUAUUGUUUUCCUAUUACAUAUAAUGCAACAAUAAACUUCCUUUUAAAUAAGUUUAGUUCACUUCUGUAACAAUUUUAUCAAACUUUAUUAGUAGAAACAAGUUUCCGGUACAUUUUCUGAAAUUUUGAUUCAUAUAUCAUAUUCUUUCCUGU
Molecule: long non-coding RNA, 4351 nt
Filed under: Homo sapiens (human)
Lineage: Eukaryota; Metazoa; Chordata; Mammalia; Primates; Hominidae
Description: HSALNT0200345
Source: RNAcentral